Zalophus californianus (California sea lion) is the source of this 112-nucleotide small nuclear RNA. Its record names the gene U5. It matches the Rfam family "U5 spliceosomal RNA". Rfam says of the family: U5 RNA is a component of both types of known spliceosome. The precise function of this molecule is unknown, though it is known that the 5' loop is required for splice site selection and p220 binding, and that both the 3' stem-loop and the Sm site are important for Sm protein binding and cap methylation. Lineage: Eukaryota; Metazoa; Chordata; Mammalia; Carnivora; Otariidae. The record is from Ensembl.
UAACUGAUUUCUCUUCAAAGUACAUAAAUCUUUUGCUUUUUACCAAAGAUUUCAAUGGAAAGAUACAGUAACGAGUUUUUAGCCAAUUUUUGAGGCCUUAUUUCUAUGAGGC